CCUACGGGAGGCAGCAGUGAGGAAUAUUGGUCAAUGGACGAGAGUCUGAACCAGCCAAGUAGCGUGAAGGAUGACUGCCCUAUGGGUUGUAAACUUCUUUUAUAUGGGAAUAAAAUGUUCCACGUGUGGGAUUUUGUAUGUACCAUAUGAAUAAGGAUCGGCUAACUCCGUGCCAGCAGCCGCGGUAAUACGGGGGAUCCGAGCGUUAUCCGGAUUUAUUGGGUUUAAAGGGAGCGUAGGUGGAUUGUUAAGUCAGUUGUGAAAGUUUGCGGCUCAACCGUAAAAUUGCAGUUGAAACUGGCAGUCUUGAGUACAGUAGAGGUGGGCGGAAUUCGUGGUGUAGCGGUGAAAUGCUUAGAUAUCACGAAGAACUCCGAUUGCGAAGGCAGUUCACUGGACUGCAACUGACACUGAGGCUCGAAAGUGUGGGUAUCAAACAGGAUUAGAUACCCCUGUAGUC
This 460-nucleotide ribosomal RNA is filed under the name uncultured bacterium. RNAcentral's name for it is "partial 16S ribosomal RNA". It matches the Rfam family "Bacterial small subunit ribosomal RNA", at positions 338 to 795 of the family's 1533-position model. The record is from RNAcentral.